RNAcentral lists this small nuclear RNA (193 nucleotides) under Echinops telfairi (small Madagascar hedgehog). RNAcentral's name for it is "U2 spliceosomal RNA (ENSETEG00000020988.1)". It matches the Rfam family "U2 spliceosomal RNA". From Rfam's summary of the family: U2 is a small nuclear RNA (snRNA) component of the spliceosome (involved in pre-mRNA splicing). Complementary binding between U2 snRNA (in an area lying towards the 5' end but 3' to hairpin I) and the branchpoint sequence (BPS) of the intron results the bulging out of an unpaired adenosine, on the BPS, which initiates a nucleophilic attack at the intronic 5' splice site, thus starting the first of two transesterification reactions that mediate splicing. The record is from RNAcentral. Lineage: Eukaryota; Metazoa; Chordata; Mammalia; Afrosoricida; Tenrecidae.
AUCGCUUCUCGGCCUUUUGGCUAAGAUCAAGUGUAGUAUCUGUUCUUAUCAGUUUACUAUCUGAUACGCCCUCUAUCCGAGAACAACAUAUUAAAUGCAUUUUUUGUAAGUAGGAUUUAGACCAAGAGCUUGCUUCAUCCAGUCCACGCAUCAUCCUGGUAUUGCUGUGCUUCCAGGGAAUGGUGCCACCCCA